This 294-nucleotide ribosomal RNA is filed under the name Triticum aestivum (bread wheat). Its description in RNAcentral is "partial small subunit ribosomal RNA". The record is from RNAcentral. Lineage: Eukaryota; Viridiplantae; Streptophyta; Magnoliopsida; Poales; Poaceae.
UUGCAGUGGGGUCCAGCGUGGAUCCCCUAGAGGAGUAGUAUGCGUGCACUAUUCUGGAACCUUCGCGGCUUCGGCCAUCAUGGCCGUCGACGCCAAUUAGUGGAUUACAUGCGCGAGGAGAAUAUUGAUAUAGUGGCGAUCUAAGAAACGAUGAGGACUGAGUUCUCUCUCUCUGAACUCGAUCGAUUGAGCCGACACUUGUUUGCAUGGCACUGGUUGCCAUCUAGUGGAGUGCCGGGACACUCCGGUGGCAUCCUUCUUGGGGUGAAGGAUGCCACCUUUGAGGUUGGCUCC